UACGGAGGGUGCGAGCGUUGUCCGGAAUCAUUGGGCGUAAAGGGCGCGUAGGUGGCGCGACAAGUCAGUGGUGAAAGUUCGACGCUCAACGUCGAAUCGGCCACUGAUACUGUUGGGCUUGAGCACUGUAGAGGCUAAUGGAAUUCCGGGUGUAGCGGUGGAAUGCGUAGAGAUCCGGAAGAACACCGGUGGCGAAGGCGGUUAGCUGGGCAGUUGCUGACACUGAGGCGCGACAGCGUGGGGAGCAAACAGG
Molecule: ribosomal RNA, 253 nt
Filed under: uncultured bacterium
Lineage: Bacteria
Description: partial 16S ribosomal RNA
Rfam family: Bacterial small subunit ribosomal RNA
Source: RNAcentral